RNAcentral lists this long non-coding RNA (205 nucleotides) under Elaeis guineensis (African oil palm). Its description in RNAcentral is "long non-coding RNA (EGUI_LNC072695)". The record is from RNAcentral. Lineage: Eukaryota; Viridiplantae; Streptophyta; Magnoliopsida; Arecales; Arecaceae.
GUCUUCUUCCCACCGUGAAAAAGAGUGGGGAAUCCGAGUAAAAAAUGGAUUCCUCCUCUAUAAAACCCCUUUCCCCUCCCUUUAGGUCUUUAUCACGGGAUUUUGAGAGAUUAUUAAGAGUUUAGAGGGAUUUUUCCAAGAUUUUUGCUGCGAGUUGUUUGAACAGGAAGAAAAGGGGUUCGCCGGAGCUCUUCUCAACCGCCGG